RNAcentral lists this long non-coding RNA (352 nucleotides) under Setaria italica (foxtail millet). RNAcentral describes it as "long non-coding RNA (SITA_LNC006734)". The record is from RNAcentral. Lineage: Eukaryota; Viridiplantae; Streptophyta; Magnoliopsida; Poales; Poaceae.
UGUAGUCAAAACAAUUCAUCCAUAGUAGGUCACAUCCACAUUUCCUCAACAGUUUACACCCAAAACGCCGCAACCAUUACAGGUACCGCAAGGAGAAUGCUUGCAUUGAUUUCCCUCAGUUUGACAGUAACCGAAUCCGAACAUCUUUAGCUCUGCAUGCAACAACAGCUUGUGAUAAGUAUUAAAACCAGCACUUGGGUUUGAACACAUCUCUAGCUCUGCAUGCAACAACAGCUUGUGAUAAGUAUUAAAACCAGCACUUGGGUUUGAACACGGUCACAGAUCCUACCUUCAGAACACGAAGUUGAAUGCUUUUGUGUUCCUUCAUGCUGUUGACUUCCGUUGCACUACG